This 253-nucleotide ribosomal RNA is filed under the name uncultured bacterium. RNAcentral's name for it is "partial 16S ribosomal RNA". It matches the Rfam family "Bacterial small subunit ribosomal RNA", at positions 524 to 776 of the family's 1533-position model. The record is from RNAcentral.
UACGGGGGGAGCAAGCGUUGUUCGGAUUUACUGGGCGUAAAGGGCGCGUAGGCGGCGCAACAAGUCACUUGUGAAAUCUCCGGGCUUAACCCGGAGCGGCCAAGUGAUACUGUCGUGCUAGAGUGCGGAAGGGGCUACUGGAAUUCUCGGUGUAGCGGUGAAAUGCGUAGAUAUCGAGAGGAACACCUGCGGCGAAAGCGGCUCUCUGGACCACAACUGACGCUGAGGCGCGAAAGCUAGGGGAGCAAACAGG